Molecule: ribosomal RNA, 253 nt
Filed under: uncultured bacterium
Lineage: Bacteria
Description: partial 16S ribosomal RNA
Rfam family: Bacterial small subunit ribosomal RNA
Source: RNAcentral
UACAGAGGCCUCAAGCGUUAGGCGGAAUCACUGGGCUUAAAGCGUGUGUAGGCGGGUCGUUAAGUACCUUGUGAAAUCCCACGGCUUAACUGUGGAACGGCUUGGUAUACUGGCGAUCUUGAGCCACUUAGGGGCUACCGGAACAGAUGGUGGAGCGGUGAAAUGCGUAGAUAUCAUCUGGAACGCCAAUGGUGAAGGCAGCUCGCUGGGACGUGACUGACGCUGAGACGCGAAAGCGUGGGGAGCGAACAGG